Molecule: long non-coding RNA, 622 nt
Organism: Vicia villosa (hairy vetch)
Lineage: Eukaryota; Viridiplantae; Streptophyta; Magnoliopsida; Fabales; Fabaceae
Exons: 3
Source: RefSeq, a predicted model, not a curated record
ACCUCCCUCCUCCACUCUUCAUAUUUUUCUUCUUCUUGCAUUUUACAUAUAAACCUUGUGAGAUUUGAAUGAUCUUUGAGAGAGUUUUAGUAGAUCAAUUUAAGAGAUGAUUAAAGAAAAGAUUAAAGCUUGAGGUUGAAAGUGUGAACGAGAUAGAGACCUAGUCGAGAGAGAGACAUACCGUUCUCAUGUAGCGUUAGUUGAAUGUGUUUGACGCUUGCUAAGGCUGUUAGCAAUUGGGGAUAGUUAAGGUAUCCUGGUGUCGUGAAGACUUGCAAGAUGUGAAUGUCUUUGGCUAGGAGUUCAAAAUCAGCUUAGGGUUUUGUUUCAGAGUGUUGUCUGUGUUUGUUUGGGAAGUUUGUUGUUAAAGCUGAAUGCUUAAUUUGUGUGUGUGGUUUUGACCUUUACUUGUUGUCAAAUACUCUGUACGCAAUUAUAUUCAAGUGGUCAAAAAUUUUAUGACCUUGGGCAUUGCGCUGGGCCUAUUUAUGGAAAAGACUUAGACCGAACAGCUCGUACUCUGAUUUAUCAUUUUUAUUAUUCCUAAAAGGACAGUGGUCCAUAUUUUGUAAGGCAUUAAUUUUGAAAAAAAAUACACUCGCGCUGUUAAAAAUCGGGGUGU